GCUCCGUUGGUGAACCAGCGGAGGGAUCAUUACAGAGUUUUCACAACUCCCAACCCUUGCGAACCGUACCCAUUCUGUUCUCGUUGCUUCCGGCGGGGGGGACGGGGGGGCCCGAAACGGCCCUCCCUCCCCGCCCGCCCGGGGCGGCGGGCCCUACGAACCUUUACAUCUCAAACACCAGAAACCGUCCGAGAAAACAAACAAACAAAUCAAAACUUUCAACAACGGACCUCUUGCCUCUGGCACCGAUGAAAAACCCAGCAGACCGGAAGAGACAAC
This 279-nucleotide unclassified non-coding RNA is filed under the name plant metagenome. Its description in RNAcentral is "partial contains small subunit ribosomal RNA, internal transcribed spacer 1, and 5.8S ribosomal RNA". The record is from RNAcentral.